CAAGAUACGAAUCGAUGUCUAGGAGGAUAUAUAUAAAUGAAGUCUAUGAAAACCAUUCGACAAUCCAGAAUCGACCCAACCUCUCUGAUUGUAUUCGUGAACGGCCGAUGAGUUGACAAAGAAUACAGUCAUUAUGUUGGCCAAGGUAACGAGAGAAAGUGGAUCUUAAAGAAUUACAGGGAAUUUUAAAAUGCAGAAACGGUGGGCAAGAAAGGAACAGAAACUUUCCAUAGUGACGCGACCCGUAGUGACGACAAGCGAUUUACAAGACAAAAGGCAAAUUAGAGGAGAGAGGUUCAUUGAAGAAAAUACCGAAAUCCGGAAAUCCAUGAACUAUUACCUCUGAGCAAAUGAAGAUAGCAUUGACGUUUAUAAAUAGCUCUACGAAGUGUGUAUGUAGGGAAAAGGGGAGAGAAAGAGGGAGAGAGAGAUAUACACAGAUAGACUGCCAAGAUAAUACACAGAUAAGACAAGACAGAUCGGAGUGAAUAUGCAGUGUGCACAUGACUUUCAAAGGUCAUGGGCACAUUCCCUUUUCCUCCGAAAAUUUAUUGAAAUAAACAUUAAAAAAUGAUAAUAAAGACAAAUAGAUAAAAAGUCAA
Molecule: long non-coding RNA, 602 nt
Organism: Octopus bimaculoides (California two-spot octopus)
Lineage: Eukaryota; Metazoa; Mollusca; Cephalopoda; Octopoda; Octopodidae
Source: RefSeq, a predicted model, not a curated record